UUACAUGGAUAUGACGGGUACAGUCU
Molecule: unclassified non-coding RNA, 26 nt
Filed under: Mus musculus (house mouse)
Lineage: Eukaryota; Metazoa; Chordata; Mammalia; Rodentia; Muridae
Description: oocyte_clustered_small_RNA424
Source: RNAcentral